Molecule: ribosomal RNA, 1217 nt
Filed under: Bacillus pumilus
Lineage: Bacteria; Bacillati; Bacillota; Bacilli; Caryophanales; Bacillaceae
Description: bacterial SSU rRNA
Rfam family: Bacterial small subunit ribosomal RNA
Source: RNAcentral
UAACCUGCCUGUAAGACUGGGAUAACUCCGGGAAACCGGAGCUAAUACCGGAUAGUUCCUUGAACCGCAUGGUUCAAGGAUGAAAGACGGUUUCGGCUGUCACUUACAGAUGGACCCGCGGCGCAUUAGCUAGUUGGUGGGGUAAUGGCUCACCAAGGCGACGAUGCGUAGCCGACCUGAGAGGGUGAUCGGCCACACUGGGACUGAGACACGGCCCAGACUCCUACGGGAGGCAGCAGUAGGGAAUCUUCCGCAAUGGACGAAAGUCUGACGGAGCAACGCCGCGUGAGUGAUGAAGGUUUUCGGAUCGUAAAGCUCUGUUGUUAGGGAAGAACAAGUGCGAGAGUAACUGCUCGCACCUUGACGGUACCUAACCAGAAAGCCACGGCUAACUACGUGCCAGCAGCCGCGGUAAUACGUAGGUGGCAAGCGUUGUCCGGAAUUAUUGGGCGUAAAGGGCUCGCAGGCGGUUUCUUAAGUCUGAUGUGAAAGCCCCCGGCUCAACCGGGGAGGGUCAUUGGAAACUGGGAAACUUGAGUGCAGAAGAGGAGAGUGGAAUUCCACGUGUAGCGGUGAAAUGCGUAGAGAUGUGGAGGAACACCAGUGGCGAAGGCGACUCUCUGGUCUGUAACUGACGCUGAGGAGCGAAAGCGUGGGGAGCGAACAGGAUUAGAUACCCUGGUAGUCCACGCCGUAAACGAUGAGUGCUAAGUGUUAGGGGGUUUCCGCCCCUUAGUGCUGCAGCUAACGCAUUAAGCACUCCGCCUGGGGAGUACGGUCGCAAGACUGAAACUCAAAGGAAUUGACGGGGGCCCGCACAAGCGGUGGAGCAUGUGGUUUAAUUCGAAGCAACGCGAAGAACCUUACCAGGUCUUGACAUCCUCUGACAACCCUAGAGAUAGGGCUUUCCCUUCGGGGACAGAGUGACAGGUGGUGCAUGGUUGUCGUCAGCUCGUGUCGUGAGAUGUUGGGUUAAGUCCCGCAACGAGCGCAACCCUUGAUCUUAGUUGCCAGCAUUUAGUUGGGCACUCUAAGGUGACUGCCGGUGACAAACCGGAGGAAGGUGGGGAUGACGUCAAAUCAUCAUGCCCCUUAUGACCUGGGCUACACACGUGCUACAAUGGACAGAACAAAGGGCUGCGAGACCGCAAGGUUUAGCCAAUCCCAUAAAUCUGUUCUCAGUUCGGAUCGCAGUCUGCAACUCGACUGCGUGAAGC